Molecule: ribosomal RNA, 451 nt
Filed under: uncultured bacterium
Lineage: Bacteria
Description: partial 16S ribosomal RNA
Rfam family: Bacterial small subunit ribosomal RNA
Source: RNAcentral
AGCGAACGCUGGCGGCAGGCUUAACACAUGCAAGUCGAGCGGGCGUAGCAAUACGUCAGCGGCAGACGGGUGAGUAACGCGUGGGAACGUACCUUUUGGUUCGUAACAACACAGGGAAACUUGUGCUAAUACCGGAUAAGCCCUUACGGGGAAAGAUUUAUCGCCGAAAGAUCGGCCCGCGUCUGAUUAGCUAGUUAGUAGGGUAAUGGCCUACCAAGGCGACGAUCAGUAGCUGGUCUGAGAGGAUGAUCAGCCACAUUGGGACUGAGACACGGCCCAAACUCCUACGGGAGGCAGCAGUGGGGAAUAUUGGACAAUGGGGGCAACCCUGAUCCAGCCAUGCCGCGUGAGUGAUGAAGGCCCUAGGGUUGUAAAGCUCUUUUGUGCGGGAAGAUAAUGACAGUACCGCAAGAAUAAGCCCCGGCUAACUUCGUGCCAGCCGCCGCCGUAA